ACUCCUACGGGAGGCAGCAGCAGGGAAUAUUGCACAAUGGAGGAAACUCUGAUGCAGCGACGCCGCGUGAGUGAUGAAGGCCUUCAGGUCGUAAAGCUCUGUCGCAGGGGAAAAAAACUUACAUUCUAAUAAAGUGUGAGGCUGACGGUACCUUGAUAAGAAGCACCGGCUAACUACGUGCCAGCAGCCGCGGUAAUA
Molecule: ribosomal RNA, 198 nt
Filed under: beta proteobacterium enrichment culture DGGE band C2
Lineage: Bacteria; Pseudomonadati; Pseudomonadota; Betaproteobacteria
Description: partial 16S ribosomal RNA
Rfam family: Bacterial small subunit ribosomal RNA
Source: RNAcentral